Molecule: ribosomal RNA, 1180 nt
Filed under: Salmonella enterica subsp. enterica serovar 4,12:i:-
Lineage: Bacteria; Pseudomonadati; Pseudomonadota; Gammaproteobacteria; Enterobacterales; Enterobacteriaceae
Also listed under: 1 other name
Description: partial 23S ribosomal RNA
Rfam family: Bacterial large subunit ribosomal RNA
Source: RNAcentral
GGGUUGUGAGGUUAAGCGACUAAGCGUACACGGUGGAUGCCCUGGCAGUCAGAGGCGAUGAAGGGCGUGCUAAUCUGCGAUAAGCGCCGGUAAGGUGAUAUGAACCGUUAUAACCGGCGAUUUCCGAAUGGGGAAACCCAGUGUGAUUCGUCACACUAUCAUUAACUGAAUCCAUAGGUUAAUGAGGCGAACCGGGGGAACUGAAACAUCUAAGUACCCCGAGGAAAAGAAAUCAACCGAGAUUCCCCCAGUAGCGGCGAGCGAACGGGGAGGAGCCCAGAGCCUGAAUCAGCAUGUGUGUUAGUGGAAGCGUCUGGAAAGGCGCGCGAUACAGGGUGACAGCCCCGUACACAAAAGCGCAUGUGCUGUGAGCUCGAUGAGUAGGGCGGGACACGUGGUAUCCUGUCUGAAUAUGGGGGGACCAUCCUCCAAGGCUAAAUACUCCUGACUGACCGAUAGUGAACCAGUACCGUGAGGGAAAGGCGAAAAGAACCCCGGCGAGGGGAGUGAAAAAGAACCUGAAACCGUGUACGUACAAGCAGUGGGAGCACAGGUUUACCUGUGUGACUGCGUACCUUUUGUAUAAUGGGUCAGCGACUUAUAUUCUGUAGCAAGGUUAACCGAAUAGGGGAGCCGGAGGGAAACCGAGUCUUAAUUGGGCGUUAAGUUGCAGGGUAUAGACCCGAAACCCGGUGAUCUAGCCAUGGGCAGGUUGAAGGUUGGGUAACACUAACUGGAGGACCGAACCGACUAAUGUUGAAAAAUUAGCGGAUGACCUGUGGCUGGGGGUGAAAGGCCAAUCAAACCGGGAGAUAGCUGGUUCUCCCCGAAAGCUAUUUAGGUAGCGCCUCGUGAAUUCAUCUCCGGGGGUAGAGCACUGUUUCGGCUAGGGGGCCAUCCCGGCUUACCAACCCGAUGCAAACUGCGAAUACCGGAGAAUGUUAUCACGGGAGACACACGGCGGGUGCUAACGUCCGUCGUGAAGAGGGAAACAACCCAGACCGCCAGCUAAGGUCCCAAAGUCAUGGUUAAGUGGGAAACGAUGUGGGAAGGCCCAGACAGCCAGGAUGUUGGCUUAGAAGCAGCCAUCAUUUAAAGAAAGCGUAAUAGCUCACUGGUCGAGUCGGCCUGCGCGGAAGAUGUAACGGGGCUAAACCAUGCACCGAAGCUGCGGCAGCGA